GGGGAGAUACCAAAGCGGCCAACUGGGCCAGACUGUAAAUCUGGUGGCUUAUGCCUUCGGCGGUUCGAAUCCGCCUCUCCCCACCA
This 86-nucleotide transfer RNA is filed under the name Planctomycetota bacterium. RNAcentral's name for it is "Planctomycetes bacterium (groundwater metagenome) tRNA-Tyr". It matches the Rfam family "tRNA". Rfam says of the family: Transfer RNA (tRNA) molecules are approximately 80 nucleotides in length. The record is from RNAcentral. Lineage: Bacteria; Pseudomonadati; Planctomycetota.